RNAcentral lists this ribosomal RNA (253 nucleotides) under uncultured bacterium. RNAcentral describes it as "partial 16S ribosomal RNA". It matches the Rfam family "Bacterial small subunit ribosomal RNA", at positions 524 to 776 of the family's 1533-position model. The record is from RNAcentral.
UACGUAGGGUGCAAGCGUUGUCCGGAAUUAUUGGGCGUAAAGAGCUCGUAGGCGGUUUGUCGCGUCUGCUGUGAAAACUGGAGGCUCAACCUCCAGCCUGCAGUGGGUACGGGCAGACUAGAGUGCGGUAGGGGAGAUUGGAAUUCCUGGUGUAGCGGUGGAAUGCGCAGAUAUCAGGAGGAACACCGAUGGCGAAGGCAGAUCUCUGGGCCGUAACUGACGCUGAGGAGCGAAAGCGUGGGGAGCGAACGGG